GACGAACGCUGGCGGCGUGCUUAACACAUGCAAGUCGAACGGGAUAAUUUGAGAGCUUGCUCUUAGAGAAUCUAGUGGCAAACGGGUGAGUAACACGUAGACAACCUUCCGACAGGAUGGGGACAACAUUCCGAAAGGAAUGCUAAUACCGAAUGAAGCGGAGGAGAGGCAUCUCUCCUCCGUGAAAGAUGGCCUCUGAAUAUGCUAUCACCUGUCGAUGGGUCUGCGUCUGAUUAGCUAGUUGGUGAGGUAACGGCUCACCAAGGCGACGAUCAGUAGCCGGUCUGGGAGGAUGGACGGCCACAUUGGGACUGAGACACGGCCCAGACUCCUACGGGAGGCAGCAGUGGGGAAACUUCCGCAAUGGGCGCAAGCCUGACGGAGCAACGCCGCGUGAGUGAAGAAGGUCUUCGGAUCGUAAAGCUCUGUUGACGGGGACGAACGUGCGAAGGGUGAAUAAUCCUUUGUAAUGACGGUACCUGUCGAGGAAGCCACGGCUAACUACGUG
RNAcentral lists this ribosomal RNA (508 nucleotides) under uncultured bacterium. Its description in RNAcentral is "partial 16S ribosomal RNA". It matches the Rfam family "Bacterial small subunit ribosomal RNA", at positions 28 to 507 of the family's 1533-position model. The record is from RNAcentral.